Molecule: unclassified non-coding RNA, 2490 nt
Filed under: Rhipicephalus microplus (southern cattle tick)
Lineage: Eukaryota; Metazoa; Arthropoda; Arachnida; Ixodida; Ixodidae
Description: serine/arginine-rich splicing factor 2-like, transcript variant X6
Source: RNAcentral
CGCGCGCGCGACAGUGCAGCAACAUUGGGCGGUGAAGCCGCUCUCGGUCGCCAUUUCCGUUUCUGCCGCCGCUCGUGUGUUUGGAUGUGCGUUCGUGGAAGGUUCAGAAGCCGAAGAGCGCGGAAGCUAUUGCGCCCAGCGUGGUAAACGCCCCUGGUUUCAUUCCUUCACUUGCGGCCGACUGCAAGCCUUCAACCAUGAACUACGGCCGGGCACCGCCGCAGAUCGACGGCAUGACGUCGCUCAAAGUGGACAACCUCACUUACCGCACCACGCCGGAGGACCUGAAGCGGGUCUUCGAGAAGUACGGGGACGUCGGCGACGUCUACAUACCGCGGCAUCCGUACACGCGAGAAAGCCGUGGCUUCGCCUUUGUGCGAUUCUACGACAAGCGCGACUGCGAGGACGCCAUGGACUCGCUGGACGGAUACGUCCUGGACGGCCGCGAACUGCGCGUCCAAAUGGCGCGCUACGGGAGGCCGUCGGACCCGUACCGCCAGUCGUCCUCGCGAAAUGCCAGACAGAGCCGCCGUUCCCGUUCUAGGUCGAGGAGCCGUGGACGUCGAUCGAGGAGCCGGCGCCGUUCAGCGUCUAGAAGCCGUAGGCGUUCCAGGAGCCGGUCCCGGCAUCGCCGAUCAAGCUCCCGGUCUCGCAGGUCAAGGAGUCGGUCAAGGGAGCGUAAACGCUCCCGCAGCCGCUCUCGCAGGAGCCGAAGCCGGUCCCGGGAUCGUCGCAAGAGUCGCAGCAAGUCAAGGGAGAGGAGCCGCUCACGUAACCGCGAGGCUAAAAGGAGCCGUUCCAAGUCGAGAAACAGAAGCCACUCAAAAUCUAGAGAACGCAGUCGUUCUAAGGAGCACGGCGGAUCAAAGUCCAAGCGGCGCAGCCGCUCAAAAUCGAAGGGCCGUCGCAGCCGUUCCAGGUCAAACGACCGUAGCCGAUCCAAGUCUAAGGAAAGGAGCCGAUCCAAGACCAAGGAGUAUCGCUCUAAGUCCGAUGAGCGUGGUCACAGCAAGGAUCGCAGCCGAUCCAAGUCCAAGGAGAGGGGUGAGAGCAAGCGCAAGAGCCGAUCCACAUCCGCUGAUCGCGGCCAACGACAGAGUCGUUCCAAGUCCAAAGAGCGCAGCCGCUCCAAUUCCAGGGACCGCAGUCGUAGCCGCAGCCGGAGCCAUCAAGACGGCAACCAGCGGGACCGCAGCAGCCGCAGUCGAUCCCGCAACGGAGAUGCCCACAGCCCAUCGCAGAGCCCCCGAAAGAUGGCAGAGGAUAGGGCGGAUUCGAGGUCAAGGUCGCGCAGUCCAGGAGUAAAGCACAGUUCACCGCCUCCUGAUGCAGCAGAGUCCAACGGUGAUCGUGAGAUGCGUUCGCCUGAGCGAGACCGCCGCUCACGGUCCAAAUCGCAGGACUCCGACUGAGACAUGUACUGCUUGAGCAGCGAAGCCUGGUUGUUCGAGGCAAGAGAUCGAGAAGGCCGAGCGAGCGGUUUGGGGGUCGGAAAGGGCGUUGGCGAUCCGGGCGAUUUCGGGCUCCUCGUGGAGGCAGUUUGCAGCCGGAGCAGUGGCAUGCUGUUUGGUGUGGUUCCGGCGUGUUGCUGAUUUGCAGCCUGUGCGAGAGAGAAAACGAAAAAAAUGCCGGCGCUGGGGCAUCUUCCUUCCUGAGGCGUGCGUGUCGUGUAGCGGCCCCGGCCGUAGUUCCGGCUGGCGUUCCAGCUUUGGCUCGUGCGAUACAGCGGUCCUGGCAUGCUUGCUGAACCUGUGGUGCCGAGUUCCGCGUGGUGGGGGCGUUUGCUGAAGGAGCUGUGUGGUUUGGUUCCACAGCUUUUUUUUUUUUUCUCUCUUCAUUUCUCCCUCUAGGUGCGGCAUCCCUGAAGACCAAAAGAAGCAUUUGAACAAGCAUUUGCACAGAGUAGAGUAUGCAGAAUGACUUGGCCUUUUUUUUUUUCUUUUGUCUGGCAUUCUUCACAAGUCUUGGCUCGAGCCAAGACAUGAAGUGCUACGAGCACUUCGCUUGUACAAGGGUAUGCCUGGAGUUACGGCAUUAAACGAAAAUGUUAAUUGUUCAGCUGCAUCUCAGAAUAAUGUGUUGACAUUGUUGCUGAGACAGGUCACAAUAUUGUUGUCACUUUGUGGGAAAUAUCUUAUCCGCAGGCAUCUCCUGCAGUGAUGCACAUUGUUUGAGGCUGGUAAACGGGAGCUCGAAUUUGAUUGCAUGUUGGCUUCAGAACUGCAGCACAGAUUUCGAACAGUUGACAAAAAGGAGAUGCAAAAGGCCUGGUAUAGUAAGUUUUAAAAAAUCAUUCCAUUGUAUACUCCGUUUAUAACCACCGUCUCAAAAAAUUAUUCAUUGUGCCUUUGAUAGCACGAAACUUAUUUGACUUACUGAUUGGUGCUUUUUUUUUUUUUAAAUUAUCUCUAACACUGACUGUACAGCAGGCCUCUGUUAUCUGCAUGCUCUGCUCUUGCGAGAAUUGAAUAAAUGUGUUCAUCCUUCAAA